Long non-coding RNA from Planococcus citri (citrus mealybug), 1011 nucleotides. RefSeq lists it as uncharacterized. The record is from RefSeq and is a predicted model, not a curated record. The transcript is spliced from 3 exons. NCBI's taxonomy places the organism in Eukaryota, Metazoa, Arthropoda, Insecta, Hemiptera, Pseudococcidae.
AAUUUGCACUAUGUACGUAUAGUAUGCACGUACUUGAUUAUAAGAAUUCAAUCACUGGGUAUGUUACAUUUCACAAUUGGUGUACCUAAUUGUUUUUAAAGUUGAAAUAGAAAGAAUAGAUAGGUACGUGCCGUAGAUUUAUCACUUCAUAUAGGUACUCACCAUUUCAUCACAAUUCUUUGUACCUACACAGAAGUAAAAGAAAAACCAAGCAUGAGUAAAAUUACAAUUUUUGCGAUCAGUAUACUGAUUCUGUAUGUUAUUGCAGUAGUUCCAGGAAUCGAAUCUGGAAGAAUCCGCAAACGUGAUUUACGGCGCACCAAUAGAUACGAUAAUACUGAAAGAUAUAAUGACGAUCGAUAUACUACCCUUAGAUAUGGUAGAUAUGAUACUACCCGUAGAUACGACGACUAUACUACCCGUAGAUAUGGUAGAUAUGAUACUACCCGUAGAUACGACGACUAUACUACCCGUAGAUACGAUGGAUAUACUACCCGUAGAUACGAUGGAUAUACUACCCGUAGAUAUCAUAGGUACCGGUAGGUAUAAUGCUGUACUGGAAGAUCGAAAGAUAGAAUACCGAUAGAUAAUAUAGGAGGUACUUACUGAUAGAUACGAAAGAACUAGGUACCCCAAUGGAUGAUCCCUCACACACUACCACUCCCUAAAUUUGAAACAGUGAAAUUUCACUGUUUCAAAUUUAGAGAGCACCUACCUACCAAACCUUGAACCUAUCCACCAACUUACAUUCCUGAUGAAAUUCACACUACUGAUUUGAGCACACCCUACUCACCGACUCGUUACUUACUUACAUUCCUGAUGAAAUUCAUACCAUUGAUUUGAGCACACCCUCCCCAAAGUCUAGGGAAGUUAGUCCUGAAGAAUUGAAGAGAACAAAGAAAGAACGUCGUAACUUCAAUUUUUUCAAUUUCUUUUUCUCAAUGUGAUUUUGUUCGUUAAGCAUAAGCUGUUUCAUUUACUUAGUUUCAGUAAAUAAUUCUAUUUACAUUA